Molecule: long non-coding RNA, 2052 nt
Filed under: Actinidia chinensis (golden kiwifruit)
Lineage: Eukaryota; Viridiplantae; Streptophyta; Magnoliopsida; Ericales; Actinidiaceae
Description: long non-coding RNA (ACHI_LNC000039)
Source: RNAcentral
UUUUACUUUCAUAUCCUUCUAUUUUAAUUUAAAACAUAUUAAAUCAUGAACUUUGAAAACAGUUACAAUGUGGACUCUCUGUUUACAUUCAGUAGAAUUUAUAGACGAAAACAUUGGAGUUUUCAAAUUAGUAUAAAAAAUAAGAUUCUUUUAAAAAAACUUAUCGUUCUUUCAAAAUUUUAUACUUUUCCGGUUCUUCUUGACAAGAGUUUAAAAAUAUAAAUUUUUUCAUCUAAUUUGAAUAAAAGUUUACUAAAUACGAAAAAAAAUACUUUUUUUCCUCUUUAUAGGAUAUGUACUUGACAUACGACUAUUUUCGUUCACAUAUUCUAACGGAGGUGGACGGAGGGUCCACAUUGCGGUUUUGAAGUUCAAGAUGAAAUAUAUUCAAAUUGAAACAAGAGGGACAAAAGUAAAAUUUGAGUGAAGAUUAAAGGAUAUAAAAUAAAACUACCCUUCAAAAAGUAUAGGAGAGGUAAAUUGUAAGGUCAGUACAAUUUAUCCUUUAAGAUAUUAUAGUGUUCAAGUGUGAUUUUUUUAAUUUUUUUUAAAUUGAUGGGCGAUAUUUACUAGUAGCAUAACAUACUUCAACUUCGAUAAAUAAAUAGUGUGAGAAUAUCCCACAACAAAUACUCAAAGGUCUAAUUAAUUUGUACUAUGAAAAAAAAUUAAAUUUUGCGCUUUUCAUGAAUUGAAUCCCUAACUAGAGGGCGUACGUGAGUAGCAAAAUGAAUUAGCCUUAAUUUAUUGUGAUAUUUUACAUAUAAUUUCUUAUAUUUAAAAUAUAAGACAAUGUUUUAAUACAGAAUUGUGCCAUAAAUUCUUCCUAGGAUAAAGAAUUCGAUAAAAAGACUGCAUAUGUUUUUUAGAGCAAGAAAAAUAGAAACGUCAGUUGUUCAAUCUAGUAUAGUCCUUUGGGCCCAUAGUUGAACCCACUUAAUCCGAGCCAUUUCCAUUUCGAUUUAUGAAUAACUCUUCUACGCCAAAAAACAAGUUGGCGGAUAACAAUUAUCACAUGUUUACAUCAAUUUUGUAUGAAGAAAAUGGACAAUUAUACUUAAAAUUGUAUGAAAAAGUACGGACAAUUCAUUUUCUUAUAAAACUAAUCUGAAUAUAUAUGGUUAUCGUUAUUCCGAUCAAUUUUUUAAUUUUUUUAUUGAUGAUGUAGUUGGGAACCGUAAAGGUGAAAUUCUCACAUCAUCAAAAUGAAUUCAACCAUGCAUCUAAUGGCCCAAUCCAGAUUGAAACUAGAGAGGAGUCGUCUCCUCCAUCUAUAAUCCAUAAACAAAAUGAGUUCAUGUUUAUCUUGUUUCACAUCAUAUAAUAUACUAUAUGGCCUUAUUUCCUUGACUGGAUAUAAAUGAGAAAAGGAAUAUAUAAUCCCAAGGAUUUAGUUCUGGAUAUGUAUAUUAUUGUCGUUGGAACAAUCCCUUAUUUGUUUUCGACCGAAUAUGACUAUAUAUACAUACCCCGUUAGAUAGCGUAGUAAAAGGAAAAUAUCAUGAGUUUAGGAGAAGGUUUUGAAUAACAAAGCAAAAAUAUUAGCACCACUCCAAAUUAUAGAAACUUGGCUAUCACAAAACAUAGCAAAUGCGACAAGCGCAAAAUAAUACAAAGCCCACAUAUCUAUUUCAAACAAGAUAGUACACAAUAUGCUUGAGAUGUUCCUUGAAAAAGUAUAGAUCCCACAAGCUACAAAAAAGGAGUGCUAAAAUGCAAUCGGAUGAAGGCGAAAACAUGGAUGGAAGAAAUAGGAAGAUAGGAUUUGGUCAUACAGAUUGAUCGAGGACGUGGGAAUUCCGGGGAUCCUUUGAGCUUUCUUCUUCAGUUCAGCUUUCUUUUUCAGUUGCAGCAAGAGGAAGCAGAAAUAGGGUUUACUAGAACGUAGCUUUUAUAUAGCUCAAGGGGUAAAAUCGUAAUUAUAUGUUAAGUCCCAACACAUGGAUUCCAAAUACUAUCCCCGUUUGGCAUUGCAUAUCUUGGGCCAUGUUUGUUUGGCCGGACUGGACUGGAUCGUUGUCCAGUCCCGCGUUAUUUUAUAGAAAAUGACUU